CCGUACCGCAAAGCCAACGGUGGGGAAGGAGAAUUGCAGACGUGCAGGAAGACGAACGAGGAGGAACCAGGACGAGCGAGCAAUGGCAGGACUAGCUGGACCGUAAGUAAUAGCUGAAUUGUGCAUGACAACUUGACAUCCAUGCGGCACUCGCCACUUGCCACUGCAUAUUUCUUGUCCACUAACAAUGUCUCUCCUCUGCCCCCUGUGUGUCCACGGCCCUGUUGCUGAAUUGGCCCGAUGAAUCGAAUGUCUUCCGCAACUGGAACGGCCCCGUGAACGCUGUCGCGUCGGCGACUGAAUGCGCAGGAGGGAAAAUAUUGCUGCGAAGACGUCUCCUCUAGACGACGGUAUAUCAUCCCGUGACGACCACAUUGAAGUCUGAAUUUGAAGUGUGAAGAUGCUUCAGCAACCACAUCGUACUUUUCCAUUGCUUUCAUUGUGCUUCUACUGUGCAUGUGUGUAACUUGUGGGGUAAACAUGUGAUGACAUUGUAUGCUGGCGACACGGUCAGAUGUUCAUGCGUCUAACGUACACCUGCAUGUUAUGCAUUGAAAAGGGUUUGCCACUUGCGAUCCUGGGACGAGUAUCAGGUCCGCUUUGUCCUGUGUGGGCUGUAUCAGAUUGCUGUUCACUUCUCUAUCUGUUGGAUAUGUGACUUUCUGCAAGUUUCUGGUGUAUGAUGGCCACGUCCUUGCUUGUCACUUUGUAUGAUAUUACAUUCUGUAUUCGCUGCUUCCAUGGCAUGGUCUGCAAACUGCAAUCAUUGGGCAAAUGUCAUGUUUGCUAUGUUGUGCUUUGGCCGUCAGCUUGUCUACACGCUGUAGUUGAAUUAUUUUUGUUUCACAACUGACUUCCUCAAGUACGGUGGCCACUGCUUUGCAUGGCAUUAUA
Sycon ciliatum is the source of this 894-nucleotide long non-coding RNA. RefSeq lists it as uncharacterized. NCBI's taxonomy places the organism in Eukaryota, Metazoa, Porifera, Calcarea, Leucosolenida, Sycettidae. The record is from RefSeq and is a predicted model, not a curated record. The transcript has 2 exons.